GAUGAAGAACGCAGCGAAAUGCGAUAAUUAAUGUGAAUUGCAGAAUUCCGUGAAUCAUCGAGUCUUUGAACGCACAUUGCGCCUCAUGGCAUUCCGUGAGGCAUGCCCAUCUCAGCGUUAGAAAAUAUUCUCAAAUUUUAGUUUUGUGCUAAAAUUUGGAUCAUGUCAAGGAAGCUAUUACUAUUAUUGUGAUCGCUCUUUGGAAAUUGGUAGGUCUUUGAGUUGCUACUCAUAGAACGUGAUGAAUCUUUCUUCGUUCUAUUGUAAUUCACUCUGGUAGUCCUAAAACUUGUAUGCCUGUGGCAUAUCUCGUAAUUUGACCUGAGAUUGGGUAGGGAUACCCGCUGAACUUAAGCAUAUCAAUAAGCGGAGGA
This 374-nucleotide unclassified non-coding RNA is filed under the name soil metagenome. Its description in RNAcentral is "partial contains internal transcribed spacer 2 and large subunit ribosomal RNA". The stretch from base 1 to 120 matches the Rfam family "5.8S ribosomal RNA", at positions 35 to 154 of the family's 154-position model. The record is from RNAcentral.